This 468-nucleotide ribosomal RNA is filed under the name uncultured bacterium. RNAcentral's name for it is "partial 16S ribosomal RNA". It matches the Rfam family "Bacterial small subunit ribosomal RNA", at positions 28 to 507 of the family's 1533-position model. The record is from RNAcentral.
GACGAACGCUGGCGGCGUGCUUAACACAUGCAAGUCGAACGGAAAGGCCCUGCUGUUGUGGGGUGCUCGAGUGGCGAACGGGUGAGUAACACGUGAGUAACCUGCCCUUGACUUUGGGAUAACUUCAGGAAACUGGGGCUAAUACCGGAUAGGAGCUCCUGAUGCAUGGUGGGGGUUGGAAAGUUUCGGCGGUUGGGGAUGGACUCGCGGCUUAUCAGCUUGUUGGUGGGGUAGUGGCUUACCAAGGCUUUGACGGGUAGCCGGCCUGAGAGGGUGACCGGCCACAUUGGGACUGAGAUACGGCCCAGACUCCUACGGGAGGCAGCAGUGGGGAAUCUUGCACAAUGGGCGGAAGCCUGAUGCAGCAACGCCGCGUGCGGGAUGACGGCCUUCGGGUUGUAAACCGCUUUCGCCUGUGACGAAGCGUGAGUGACGGUAAUGGGUAAAGAAGCACCGGCUAACUACGUG